This 306-nucleotide long non-coding RNA is filed under the name Homo sapiens (human). RNAcentral's name for it is "non-protein coding lnc-DPY19L2-6:1". Lineage: Eukaryota; Metazoa; Chordata; Mammalia; Primates; Hominidae. The record is from RNAcentral.
AUGGUCAACGUACCUAAACCCGAAGAACCUUUGUAAGCAUCACCUGACGAAGUGACACAGUAUAAGAAGGGCAAGGAUUCAUCGUAUGCCCAGGGAAAGAGGUGCUAUGAUCAGAAGCAGAGUGGCUAUGGUGGGCAGACAAAGCCAAUUUUCUGGAAGAAGGCUAAGACCACAAAGAAGGUUGUGCUAAGGCUGGAAUGUGUUGAGCCUAACUGCAGAUCCAAGAGGAUGCUGGCCAUUAACAGAUGCAAGCAUUUUGAACUGGGAGGAUAUAAGAAAAGAAAGGACCAAGUGAUCCAGUUCUAA